RNAcentral lists this ribosomal RNA (602 nucleotides) under uncultured bacterium. RNAcentral describes it as "bacterial SSU rRNA". It matches the Rfam family "Bacterial small subunit ribosomal RNA", at positions 338 to 953 of the family's 1533-position model. The record is from RNAcentral.
CCUACGGGAGGCAGCAGUGGGGAAUAUUGGGCAAUGGAGGAAACUCUGACCCAGCGACGCCGCGUGCGGGAUGAAGGCCUUCGGGUUGUAAACCGCUUUCAGUAGGGAAGAAGCGAAAGUGACGGUACCUACAGAAGAAGCACCGGCUAACUAUGUGCCAGCAGCCGCGGUAAUACAUAGGGUGCAAGCGUUGUCCGGAAUUAUUGGGCGUAAAGAGCUCGUAGGUGGUUCGUCACGUCGGAUGUGAAAAUCUGGGGCUCAACCCCAGACCUGCAUUCGAUACGGGCGAUCUAGAGUGUGGUAGGGGAGACUGGAAUUCCUGGUGUAGCGGUGGAAUGCGCAGAUAUCAGGAGGAACACCAAUGGCGAAGGCAGGUCUCUGGGCCAUUACUGACACUGAGGAGCGAAAGCGUGGGGAGCGAACAGGAUUAGAUACCCUGGUAGUCCACGCCGUAAACGGUGGGCACUAGUUGUGGGAACCUUCCACGGUUUCUGCGACGCAGCUAACGCAUUAAGUGCCCCGCCUGGGGAGUACGNUCGCAAGAUUAAACCUCAAAGUAGUAGUACGGCGUGAGAGAGCGACGACGACGACGACGGAGGAGG